GUGGGGAAUAUUGGACAAUGGGGGGAACCCUGAUCCAGCCAUGCCGCGUGUGUGAAGAAGGCCUUUUGGUUGUAAAGCACUUUAAGCGAGGAGGAGGCUACCGAGAUUAAUACUCUUGGAUAGUGGACGUUACUCGCAGAAUAAGCACCGGCUAACUCUGUGCCAGCAGCCGCGGUAAUACAGAGGGUGUAAGCGUUAAUCGGAUUUACUGGGCGUAAAGCGCGCGUAGGUGGCCAAUUAAGUCAAAUGUGAAAUCCCCGAGCUUAACUUGGGAAUUGCAUUCGAUACUGGUUGGCUAGAGUAUGGGAGAGGAUGGUAGAAUUCCAGGUGUAGCGGUGAAAUGCGUAGAGAUCUGGAGGAAUACCGAUGGCGAAGGCAGCCAUCUGGCCUAAUACUGACACUGAGGUGCGAAAGCAUGGGGAGCAAACAGGAUUAGAAACCCUAGUAGUCC
RNAcentral lists this ribosomal RNA (451 nucleotides) under uncultured bacterium. Its description in RNAcentral is "partial 16S ribosomal RNA". It matches the Rfam family "Bacterial small subunit ribosomal RNA", at positions 354 to 796 of the family's 1533-position model. The record is from RNAcentral.